Molecule: ribosomal RNA, 250 nt
Filed under: uncultured bacterium
Lineage: Bacteria
Description: partial 16S ribosomal RNA
Rfam family: Bacterial small subunit ribosomal RNA
Source: RNAcentral
UGGGGAAUUUUGGACAAUGGGCGCAAGCCUGAUCCAGCCAUGCCGCGUGAGUGAAGAAGGCCUUCGGGUUGUAAAGCUCUUUUGUCCGGGAGCAAGUCCUACUGGCUAAUAUCUGGUGGGGAUGAGAGUACUGGAAGAAUAAGCACCGGCUAACUACGUGCCAGCAGCCGCGGUAAUACGUAGGGUGCGAGCGUUAAUCGGAAUUACUGGGCGUAAAGGGUGCGCAGGCGGUUUUGUAAGCCAGAUGUGA